This 328-nucleotide unclassified non-coding RNA is filed under the name Athalia rosae (coleseed sawfly). RNAcentral's name for it is "misc RNA ENSAEAG00005002924.1". The record is from RNAcentral. Lineage: Eukaryota; Metazoa; Arthropoda; Insecta; Hymenoptera; Athaliidae.
UAGAUCUUCCCCGGGAGGAUAACAAUUUCUGGAACGCGGUAGAUGUCGGGAUAUCCCGACUAGAAAUUUCAGUGAGGCGGUAGUUUGGUCCGAAUGUCAAACUUGCGGCAAGUGAAGAAUCCAAAUCAGGCCGCUUCAUAUCGUAGAACCUACCUAAACUUACCAAAGAAACUGGACAGUUAUUACAUCAGUUAGAAUAUCAGCCUUGAUAUUGUAAGAUGAGAUAAAUAUUUCAUAAAAAAUAACAGAAAAGAGUCUGUUGACAGAGCUGAGGACCUACCAGAGAAUGCAAACAUGGAUUUAUCUGCUUCCUUUUGAAAAAACUCAG